GACGAACGCUGGCGGCGUGCUUAACACAUGCAAGUCGAACGGUGAAGCGCCUUCCUUUUUGGUGGGUGUGGAUGAGUGGCGAACGGGUGAGUAACACGUGAGUAACCUGCCCCCUCCUUCUGGAUAACCGCAUGAAAGUGUGGCUAAUACGGGAUAUUCUGGGUCUGUCGCAUGAUGGGUCUGGGAAAGUUAUUGUUUCGGUGGGGGAUGGGCUCGCGGCCUAUCAGCUUGUUGGUGGGGUGAUGGCCUACCAAGGCGGCGACGGGUAGCCGGCCUGAGAGGGUUCACGGUCACAGUGGGACUGAGACACGGCCCAGACUCCUGCGGGGGACAGCUGGGGGGAAUAUUGCACAGUGGGCGCGAGCCUGAUGCAGCGGCGCCGCGUGUGAGAUGGAGGCCUUCGGGUUGUGAACCUCUUUCGCCAGUGAAGCAGGCCUGCCUCGUUUGUGGGUGGGUUGACGGUAGCUGGAUAAGAAGCGCCGGCUAACUACGUG
This 494-nucleotide ribosomal RNA is filed under the name uncultured bacterium. RNAcentral's name for it is "partial 16S ribosomal RNA". It matches the Rfam family "Bacterial small subunit ribosomal RNA", at positions 28 to 507 of the family's 1533-position model. The record is from RNAcentral.